This is a small nuclear RNA of Macaca mulatta (Rhesus monkey), 172 nucleotides long. Its record names the gene U2. It matches the Rfam family "U2 spliceosomal RNA". Rfam says of the family: U2 is a small nuclear RNA (snRNA) component of the spliceosome (involved in pre-mRNA splicing). Complementary binding between U2 snRNA (in an area lying towards the 5' end but 3' to hairpin I) and the branchpoint sequence (BPS) of the intron results the bulging out of an unpaired adenosine, on the BPS, which initiates a nucleophilic attack at the intronic 5' splice site, thus starting the first of two transesterification reactions that mediate splicing. The record is from Ensembl. NCBI's taxonomy places the organism in Eukaryota, Metazoa, Chordata, Mammalia, Primates, Cercopithecidae.
AUCGCUUCUCAGCCUUUUGGCUAAGAUCAAGUGUAAAUUCCCAAAGGUAGGGCAGUUUGUAGUGAUAAAUAAAUAAAUAAAUAAGAUACAGCCAAAAUGCAGUCUAAGCUUUAUUUUUUUUUUUUUCUUUUGAGGCAGGGUCUCACUCUGUUGCCCAGACUUGAGUGCAGUG